This 303-nucleotide ribosomal RNA is filed under the name Synchroma pusillum. Its description in RNAcentral is "partial Bacterial small subunit ribosomal RNA". It matches the Rfam family "Bacterial small subunit ribosomal RNA", at positions 211 to 511 of the family's 1533-position model. Lineage: Eukaryota; Synchromophyceae; Synchromales; Synchromaceae. The record is from RNAcentral.
ACGGGCGGCAGCGGAUGGCCAUGCGUACCAUUAGCUGGUUGGUAAGGUAACGGCUUACCAAAGCUACGAUGGUUAGGGGCCCUGAGAGGGGGAUCCCCCACACUGGUACUGAGACACGGACCAGACUCCUACGGGAGGCAGCAGUGAGGAAUAUUGGACAAUGGGCGGAGGCCUGAUCCAGCCAUGCCGCGUGCGGGAAGACGGCCCUACGGGUCGUAAACCGCUUUUGUACGGGAAGAAACCUCUCCACGUGUGGAGAGUUGACGGUACCGUAAGAAUAAGGACCGGCUAACUCCGUGCCAG